Molecule: long non-coding RNA, 172 nt
Organism: Mustela erminea (ermine)
Lineage: Eukaryota; Metazoa; Chordata; Mammalia; Carnivora; Mustelidae
Exons: 3
Source: RefSeq, a predicted model, not a curated record
UCUCCAUUCCAUUGGUUGUUGAAAGACCCUAGAGGACCCGCACCCAAGGACGCACUCACAGACCACUGGAUGCAAUAAGCAAGAGGAUUUUAUUCGGGCAUGCUCGGACUCCCAGGGACACUUGACCACGAAAUCCGCGAGGGAUGGGUCAGUGUCUGAGAGCCCCGAUCUG